UCUUCUGCCAACAACUC
Molecule: small RNA, 17 nt
Filed under: Arabidopsis thaliana (thale cress)
Lineage: Eukaryota; Viridiplantae; Streptophyta; Magnoliopsida; Brassicales; Brassicaceae
Description: ATSL196530
Source: RNAcentral